GAUGAAGAACGCAGCGAAAUGCGAUACUUGGUGUGAAUUGCAGAAUCCCGUGAACCAUCGAGUCUUUGAACGCAAGUUGCGCCUCAAGCCAUUAGGUUGAGGGCACGUCUGCCUGGGCGUCACAUAUCGUUGCCUGAUGCCAGUUUCCUCGUGAUGGGUGACUGUGCAGGGCGAAUGAUGGCUUCCCGUGAGCAUUGUUGCCUCAUGGUUGGUUGAAAAUUGAGUCCUUGGUAGGGAGCGCCGUGAUAGAUGGUGGUUGAGUGACGAACGAGACCCAAUCAUGUGAGACCCCUACCGAAUUUGGCCUUCAUGACCCACAUGCGUCUUUGGAACGCUCAUGACGAGACCUCAGGUCAGGCGGGGCUACCCGCUGAGUUUAAGCAUAUCACUAAGCGGAGGA
RNAcentral lists this unclassified non-coding RNA (400 nucleotides) under soil metagenome. RNAcentral's name for it is "partial contains 5.8S ribosomal RNA, internal transcribed spacer 2, and large subunit ribosomal RNA". The stretch from base 1 to 122 matches the Rfam family "5.8S ribosomal RNA", at positions 35 to 154 of the family's 154-position model. The record is from RNAcentral.